This is a non-coding RNA of Pelobates cultripes (western spadefoot toad), 160 nucleotides long. NCBI's taxonomy places the organism in Eukaryota, Metazoa, Chordata, Amphibia, Anura, Pelobatidae. The record is from the annotation of a GenBank genome assembly.
GAGGGGGCCCAGCAGUCUGCAGCUGUACAUUACAGCUCUUCCCUCUCUCUAACUCCCGCGAGCGUGAUGUGCGUGCCACGCAGAGCGUUGCCAUGGUUAGAGAGAGGGAGUUAGAGAGAGGGAAGAGCUGUAAUGUACAGCUACAGACUGCUGGGCCCCC